GUCCAGACUCCUACGGGAGGCAGCAGUGAGGAAUAUUGCGCAAUGGGGGCAACCCUGACGCAGCAACGCCGCGUGAGUGAGGAAGGUUUUCGGAUUGUAAAGCUCUGUCGAGCGGAAAGAAGUGCAUGGUGGUUAAUAUCCAUCAUGCUUGACGGUACCGCUAAAGGAAGCACCGGCUAACUCCGUGCCAGCAGCCGCGGUAAUACGGGGGGUGCAAGCGUUGUUCGGAAUCAUUGGGCGUAAAGCGCGUGUAGGCGGCUGGACAAGUCAGAUGUGAAAGCCCUGGGCUUAACCCAGGAAGUGCAUUUGAAACUGUUCAGCUAGAGUAAGGGAGAGGAAAGUGGAAUUCCUGGUGUAGAGGUGAAAUUCGUAGAUAUCAGGAGGAACACCGGUGGCGAAGGCGACUUUCUGGCCCUAUACUGACGCUGAGACGCGAAAGCGUGGGUAGCAAACAGGAUUAGAUACCCUGGUAGUCCACGCUGUAAACGAUGUUCACUAGGUGUUGGGGGUAUUGACCCUUCCAGUGCCGCAGCUAACGCAUUAAGUGAA
RNAcentral lists this ribosomal RNA (549 nucleotides) under uncultured bacterium. RNAcentral's name for it is "bacterial SSU rRNA". It matches the Rfam family "Bacterial small subunit ribosomal RNA", at positions 329 to 868 of the family's 1533-position model. The record is from RNAcentral.